Myodes glareolus (Bank vole) is the source of this 3183-nucleotide non-coding RNA. The record is from RefSeq and is a predicted model, not a curated record. Lineage: Eukaryota; Metazoa; Chordata; Mammalia; Rodentia; Cricetidae.
GCUGCACCAGGGUUAGCAGAAUUGUACCUCUUGUGCUGAGUGCUGGAGGUUUUGUUCCAUCCGUUUUUACCAUGGCUUUAUAACUAGUGCUGCAACAAUCUCCUUAGGUAUGUAAUAUUUAGCUUCCGUGCAGUUACUUUGCCAGGCUUGAUUCCAUGUCUGGAACUAACCAGCCAAGACUAAGAACAGCUUUUCUUUUUUAAUUAAAAAUUUCUUAUAGUUUUGGAAAAUAGAAAUAAAGAUGAGCCAUGGGUCCCAGGAAGUGUGUCAGCCAGGAUCUCACUGGGCUGCAAACAGCAGGAACCUUAGGAACCAGGGAGUUUAAGGGAGAGACUGGGCUGGUCUCAGAGUGAUCAUGGCCAUGCCACUGGAGAGCCUGGCCACAGGGCGCUUCCUGUCCCGCGCCCUUCAUCCUUCAGCGUGGUUGUUCCUCUGCUAAUCUUGCUCCCUUGACAGCUCUUGGCUGCCUUUAAUGAGCCUCUCCCGCUCCAGCUGAGUCAUUUCUGUUCAUCUUUGAUACUCAGAGCUGUACUGCAUGUGGGCCAUUGUGGGAUGCUUCCUUUUGCUGUGUUCCUUCACUCUUCAGCUGCCUGUUUGAUGGCAUUUCAUCUGGCCAGAGCAGAGACUUGCCUGGGUCCUGAUGGAGCAGUGGAAGAGCCCGCCUUGGGCCCAGGACGGAGCUCAUUCUUUUUUUUUUAACAGGACUGCCUUUCUUUUCUCAUUUCAAGGUAGAAAACGCCUUUUGCUCCCCAUGUGGUGGAGUCAGGAAGAGAACAGAGACUUCCAGGCUCAGUCGUAGUCUCCCUCCCCUGCCCCUCAGGCUGGAGAGUUCUGUCCUCUAGAAGCAAGCCCAUAAGGCCGGGUUCCAUCCAGGGCAAAAGCAGUCGGUUUCAUCUUGAGUGGGGUGAUCCUGCCCUGGACCUGGCUUUGUCACACACCUACUAUCCCACAGCAUAAGAGCUUGAUCAUCCAUCACACUGACAGGGAAACUGAGGCUUGUGUUUUGGGAAAUCAACCUGAGAAUGGGCCCCCAACUCAGAAGAGUUAUUGGUUAUUUUUCCAGAGUGGCCUUGUCCUUCCAGAGAGCAGUGGGCAUUUAUUUGACAAGAAGUUAUAAAGCUGUGUUCCAGAUUCUCUGAAGAAAGCGAGAAUCUCACACGGUGGCACCAGAGGUUGUAUUUCAGGGAGUCAUCCCUGACCCCCCAAGGCCACCCCGAAUAACUCUGCUGCUGCUACGUUUCUCCUGCUCUGAAGUUCCUCCAUCAUAGCACUCAGUUGCCAACUGGACCAAUUCCCAGUGACUGCGAGGAAAGCACCCGAGUGUACUUUUUGCUGUUGGGCCCUGGUGUGAUCACAGCAGGUGGCACAUGGCUGGAACAUUGUGAACACUGCAGAAAGGAGCUGUCCUGAGCAGCCAGUGCAGGUUAGCAGCAGCAGUCCGGGCCAGGGCUUGAGUCCACGGGGAAGAGAAUGUCCUCUGUGGUUCCAGGCCUCACUCUCUUGUGUAGACAGAUCCUGUCACUUAGCAUCCAUCCUGAACCAUGGAGAACAAGUCUGGGUCAAAGUGCAAGUUAAGGGCGUCUGGACCAAUGCUGCUGUAAGAGAGCUGACGAAUGCUGGGCUGGGCGAGGCUUCCAUGUAUGCAGGAACCCUGUGGCAAGCUCCUGCACCUCUGUCUCUUUAGGCCUGUGGUGCUAGGAUGAGUUUCUCCACCGGGAAGGCAGCUGAUAGCUCUCUCUGAGUUUGCCAUUCUGAUCCUGAUGCAUCUUUGACGGGUGGAGGUUCCCUUCAGAAGAUCCAGAAUUCUUCCCUUCAUCCCCUGCCGUGCCUGGUUCCCUCACAGCCAGAGAUGCGUCAUUGUUCCCUAUGGAAAACUCCCCAACUUCACUUUCCUUUUAGGAAACGCCUGUCACGUACUCUGAAGUGUUAAGGCCACUGGUGCAUGUGACCAAAGUAUUGAGGACUCAGAGCGCAGAGGUCGAGACAGGACGUCCGUAAGCUGUGUUGCUUGUCCUGGGUUCUCCCACCCCUGAGUGGUGAGGGGGGGCACAACGAUAAGAGUGACUCAGCUUAGUGUGCAGAUCAGAGUGUGGGUCAAGAGUUAGGUGGCCUGGGUACCAGUACUGGCUCUGCCAUUGAUGGAGCGCAGGUAGGCAGCUUAGGCUCUCUGGACCUCAGUUUCCUCCUCCCUGAACUGGCCACGCAGAGGUUUCAGUGGCAGUGUCACCUGCAGCAGUUGCCACCCUCAGUACAUCCCUGUGCUGCUCGUAGGGGCUCCUUGGGGCUCACUGGCCGAGGCCAUCCUGCCCUGGUACUUUUCCAUAAGAGGCGUCUUCCCCACAGCUGCCCCUGUGAGGAGCCAUUGCACUCCUUCUCUGUCAGGUAGAGAUGUUUUAAACAUUUGAGACGUUUCUUUCCAAAGUACUGUACCUUCACUUUUAUUCUGCGAAUAGAACUUUAAUUCAGCUGCACAUUCAUAUUUAAAAUCUCAUAGGAAUUAAUUUCAUGAAACCGGGUUGUUUUCCUUCCUACCUCUCACAAAGCGGUAUCGCUGAGCUUCCUCUGGUGUCAUCAUUAUCCCCCGGGCCACUCUGACUCAUCUAAUGCAGUUUUCUCCAGCAAGCGUGUCAGCCUCGCUUCCCGUCAGCCUUCUCAGAUCCUGCCCUUGGUGAAUCACAGUAGGCUGCCGCCACCGGGAACUUUCCCACCUCGCCUCAGGCACUCACUUGUGAAACUUUGAGGCGACUUGCCCCCUGAGUUUUGGUCAGGGCUGUGGAGCAGGACCUGCCACCCCCUCAAUGACCCUUUGCUGCAUAGAGGGUCCACUAGACCCUUCUCCAGGGUAUACUUGUCUUGUCACUGGCUCCUCCACUCCUGGGGGUGAGAAGUAGCACAGCGGAGGCCACAUGCCACGGAUGGAGAGCCUCCUGUGCUUCCGCCCACAGACUUCUCCAAGAUAUGCAGACUGAAGUGAAAGACAGGAAAAGGAGCAGUGUCUCAGGUCUUAGAGGCAUCAGAAGGCUUUAGAAACCCACUUGUCCCUCUUACUCAGCUCUUCGAAGGCCCCAGUGGCUCGAAAGAGGCCUAAGCAACCCUUCACACACUCAGCUUGUGAGUAUCAGACAGGACUCGCCAUGUGCAACGGCGUACGGUAGGCUGGCUGGCACAUGCUGCAGGUGAUUG